This 584-nucleotide ribosomal RNA is filed under the name uncultured bacterium. Its description in RNAcentral is "partial 16S ribosomal RNA". It matches the Rfam family "Bacterial small subunit ribosomal RNA", at positions 355 to 1375 of the family's 1533-position model. The record is from RNAcentral.
UGGGGAAUUUUGGACAAUGGGCGAAAGCCUGAUCCAGCAAUGCCGCGUGUGUGAAGAAGGCCUUCGGGUUGUAAAGCACUUUUGUCCGGAAAGAAAUCCUCUGGGUUAAUACCUCGGGGGGAUGACGGUACCGGAAGAAUAAGCACCGGCUAACUACGUGCCAGCAGCCGCGGUAAUACGUAGGGUGCAAGCGUUAAUCGGAAUUACUGGGCGUAAAGCGUGCGCAGGCGGUUUUGUAAGACGGAUGUGAAAUCCCCGGGCUUAACCCGGGAACUGCAUUCGUGACUGCAAGGCUAGAGUAUGGCAGAGGGGGGUAGAAUUCCACGUGUAGCAGUGAAAUGCGUAGAGAUGUGGAGGAAUACCGAUGGCGAAGGCGAGCCCUGGCCAAUGACUGACGCUCAUGCACGAAAGCGUGGGGAGCAAACAGGAUUAGAUACCCUGGUAGUCCACGCCCUAAACGAUGUCAACUAGUUGUUGGGGAUUCAUUUCCUUAGUAACGUAGCUAACGCGUGAAGUUGACCGCCUGGGGAGUACGGUCGCAAGAUUAAAACUUAAAUGAAUUGACGGGGUCAUAGCUGUUUCCU